This 253-nucleotide ribosomal RNA is filed under the name uncultured bacterium. RNAcentral's name for it is "partial 16S ribosomal RNA". It matches the Rfam family "Bacterial small subunit ribosomal RNA", at positions 524 to 776 of the family's 1533-position model. The record is from RNAcentral.
UACAGAGGUGGCAAGCGUUGUUCGGAAUUACUGGGCGUAAAGGGCGCGUAGGCGGCCAUCUAAGUCAGACGUGAAAUCCCCCGGCUUAACCUGGGAACUGCGUCUGAUACUGGAAGGCUUGAGUAUGGGAGAGGGAUGAAGAAUUCCAGGUGUAGCGGUGAAAUGCGUAGAUAUCUGGAGGAAUACCGGUGGCGAAGGCGGCAUCCUGGACCAUUACUGACGCUGAGGCGCGAAAGCGUGGGGAGCGAACAGG